AAAUUAUGGUGAGGACACUUCCUUGGAUGUCCUCCAAAUUUUUUCCAUGCUUUAAAUAGGGAUUCUGACUUAUACUACUAAAAACUAAAAAUUUCUGUCAUAAGCUU
This is a small nucleolar RNA of Abrus precatorius (Indian licorice), 107 nucleotides long. The record is from RefSeq and is a predicted model, not a curated record. NCBI's taxonomy places the organism in Eukaryota, Viridiplantae, Streptophyta, Magnoliopsida, Fabales, Fabaceae.